Long non-coding RNA from Folsomia candida, 989 nucleotides. RefSeq lists it as uncharacterized. Lineage: Eukaryota; Metazoa; Arthropoda; Collembola; Entomobryomorpha; Isotomidae. The transcript is spliced from 2 exons. The record is from RefSeq and is a predicted model, not a curated record.
UACCAGAUUAUUUAGAGUGUACUCGAAGAUAUCUUAAACAUUCAUUGCAACCAUUUUUACGUCAUGUGAAGUUAAUUAUUGUACUGGAAAAAAUUAGUUAGUACUACAAUAUCCGAUGACAUUUCCCUAUGUAAAUAUUUGCAUAUUUACAUAUUCCCCGAAUUGUCAAUCUCUGAUUGAGUUUUUCUUAUUUAGAUAAUAUAAAUAAAUGAGUUACCCAGUAUAAAUAUUUACGCAGUAACGAACACUGUAUUCUUUGUAUGUAAUGACACUUAUGCAAAUCUUAGGAUUUAAUUAAUUCCGUACAAAAAAUUCAUUUCAAAGUUAAUAGAGCAAGUUCAUCAUUGACCUAUGGAUGUGUGGGGCUUCCACUUUUUUUGCCACGAACCUGUUGUAGGAAAUUCCCGUGUCUGGCCAGAUACUUAAUUGUGUAACACCUGUUGGAAAUAGGUGAUAAAAAAAUAAACAUGCUAAGCUGACAGGUGGUACAUGUAAGACAAUAAGUAUCACCUUCAACGUCACAAAUCUACACAGUUAAACUUCAACUUUGAGGAGGAGACGGUGUUAAUUUUGCCAAAACUUCAGAUAAUUUUGGUUUUUCGAAAAAAAUCGAACUUCUGUAUAAUAAAUUUGGCAAGAUAAGCUGGAAAAUGUCGGGCAACACGGUCAAAUAUUAUCAAUUUUUGGGAGCUUCAAAUUCAGAAAGAAAAACUGAGCCGCAGAAGAAAAUUCCAACAUUUACGAAGCCACAUGUAAAACUUGGAUUGGAUAACUGCAGUGUGGAUAAGAGUACAGUGAAAUGGGGAAACUGCUCAUUCGGCCAAACCACCCACUCCUCUCGGAACCAUUUUAAUCUUGUUUGAAUAGUUUUAUUUUCUAUUUAUGAAUUACACACCAUCCAUGCUAUAAAUCUAUGUGAUUACUGAAUUGGGUAGAAGAAUAAGACAAAGUAGAAAUAUGUCAAUAAAAGUAUCUACACAAUAACGCUA